This 465-nucleotide ribosomal RNA is filed under the name Vreelandella stevensii. Its description in RNAcentral is "partial 16S ribosomal RNA". It matches the Rfam family "Bacterial small subunit ribosomal RNA", at positions 338 to 795 of the family's 1533-position model. Lineage: Bacteria; Pseudomonadati; Pseudomonadota; Gammaproteobacteria; Oceanospirillales; Halomonadaceae. The record is from RNAcentral.
CCUACGGGAGGCUGCAGUGGGGAAUAUUGGACAAUGGGGGGAACCCUGAUCCAGCCAUGCCGCGUGUGUGAAGAAGGCCCUCGGGUUGUAAAGCACUUUCAGUGAGGAAGAACGCCUGGUGGUUAAUACCCAUCAGGAAAGACAUCACUCACAGAAGAAGCACCGGCUAACUCCGUGCCAGCAGCCGCGGUAAUACGGAGGGUGCGAGCGUUAAUCGGAAUUACUGGGCGUAAAGCGCGCGUAGGUGGCUUGAUAAGCCGGUUGUGAAAGCCCCGGGCUCAACCUGGGAACGGCAUCCGGAACUGUCAAGCUAGGGUGCAGGAGAGGAAGGUAGAAUUCCCGGUGUAGCGGUGAAAUGCGUAGAGAUCGGGAGGGAUACCAGUGGCGAAGGCGGCCUUCUGGACUGACACUGACACUGAGGUGCGAAAGCGUGGGUAGCAAACGGGAUUAGAGACCCCAGUAGUG